AAUGGGAAGCAAGGCUGUAAGGCGGAGCGAAUCCGGAAAGAUUGCCUCAGUUCGGAUUGUUCUCUGCAACUCGGGAACAUGAAGUUGAAAUCGCUAGUAAUCGCGGAUCAGCAUGCCGCGGUGAAUAUGUACCCGGGCCCUGUACACACCGCCCGUCACACCCUGGGAAUUGGUUUCGCCCGAAGCAUCGGACCAAUGAUCACCCAUGACUUCUGUGUACCACUAGUGCCACAAAGGCCUUUGGUGGUCUUAUUGGCGCAUACCACGGUGGGGUCUUCGAC
Molecule: ribosomal RNA, 281 nt
Filed under: Oryza sativa Japonica Group (Japanese rice)
Lineage: Eukaryota; Viridiplantae; Streptophyta; Magnoliopsida; Poales; Poaceae
Description: partial 18S ribosomal RNA
Rfam family: Bacterial small subunit ribosomal RNA
Source: RNAcentral